GGCCACAGGCUCCGAGUUUUGGCGUGAGGAACCGCUGAUCGGCCACGGGCGCCGAACUUGCUGGCCUCCGGCAUGUGCCUGAGCGGCGGCGGAAAAACCACCUUAAUUGGGGCGGAGGGUUAGUUUUAACAGCAAAGGGCCUUUACUAAAAUGGCGAAGGCCUUCCGUCGGCGUUGUUUUAAAAUGGGAAGCCUCGACCCUGUAUUGAAACUGAGCUGUUCGAAGGCGGCGUUGUGUGCAAUUCGGAUUAAUGAAGGGGAAGGGUUUUGUGUGGAAAAACGCCUUGGAGUGUGACAUUUCUGCGAGAAUGCUUAAAUACCGAUUUCCCGCAGGAACAAUGGCGCUGUCUUCAGUGGCACAGUGGAGCAGCUCUGAAGAUGCAAAGAUACACGAAAAAACUUCCAGAACAUCUGGGAGAAUAUUUAAUGGAAAAUCGCUUGGUUAAAACCUGACACUUUUAACAGUGAGGGUCGCUGUCUGCCCAUUGAUAGAGGCCAGAUUGUCUUGGAAGUUCCAAAGUUGCAACGAUUUCUGGCUAGUGCCACGAGGUUUACUUGACUGUUGUGUGAAAAGCUGAUAAGAAAACCAUCCAGAAAAAAGCUCUUCGUUUUACAAACAUGAAAAUAAAACAUGUAAUUUUG
Molecule: long non-coding RNA, 641 nt
Filed under: Homo sapiens (human)
Lineage: Eukaryota; Metazoa; Chordata; Mammalia; Primates; Hominidae
Description: non-protein coding SNHG5:16
Source: RNAcentral